This 903-nucleotide ribosomal RNA is filed under the name Clitostethus arcuatus. RNAcentral describes it as "SSU rRNA". It matches the Rfam family "Eukaryotic small subunit ribosomal RNA", at positions 425 to 1291 of the family's 1831-position model. The record is from RNAcentral. Lineage: Eukaryota; Metazoa; Arthropoda; Insecta; Coleoptera; Coccinellidae.
GCAGCAGGCGCGCAAAUUACCCACUCCCAGCACGGGGAGGUAGUGACGAAAAAUAACGAUACGGGACUCAUCCGAGGCCCCGUAAUCGGAAUGAGUACAAUUUAAACCCUUUAACAAGGAACAAUUGGAGGGCAAGUCUGGUGCCAGCAGCCGCGGUAAUUCCAGCUCCAAUAGCGUAUAUUAAAAUUGUUGCGGUUAAAAAGCUCGUAGUCGAAAUUGUGUCAAGCGUCGCCGAUUCAUCGUUCGCGGUGUCAAUUGGCGAUAGCUUGACGUCCUGUCGGCGGGUUUAGCUCUUUUAGGGCGGCCCAAUCAUUCCUGCCGCGGUUCUCUUCAUUGAGUGUCGAGGUAGGCCGACUCAGUUACUUUGAACAAAUUAGAGUGCUUAAAGCAAGCGUCAAUUACGCAUGAAUACUAGUGCAUGGAAUAAUGAAACAGGACCUCGGUUCUAUUUUGUUGGUUUUCGGAACACCGAGGUAAUGAUUAAUAGGGACGGAUGGGGGCAUUCGUAUUGCGACGUUAGAGGUGAAAUUCUUGGAUCGUCGCAAGACGGACAGAAGCGAAAGCAUUUGCCAAAAACGUUUUCAUUGAUCAAGAACGAAAGUUAGAGGUUCGAAGGCGAUCAGAUACCGCCCUAGUUCUAACCAUAAACGAUGCCAGCUAGCGAUCCGCCGACGUUCCUCAGAUGACUCGGCGGGCAGCUUCCGGGAAACCAAAGCUUUUGGGUUCCGGGGGAAGUAUGGUUGCAAAGCUGAAACUUAAAGGAAUUGACGGAAGGGCACCACCAGGAGUGGAGCCUGCGGCUUAAUUUGACUCAACACGGGAAACCUCACCAGGCCCGGACACCGGAAGGAUUGACAGAUUGAGAGCUCUUUCUCGAUUCGGUGGGUGGUGGUGCAUGGCCGU